GAGAGUAGGAGCAUGGGGGGGCGGUGAGGUGACUAUGGUGACAGUGUGUCUAGAGAGUAGGAGCAUGGGGCGGUGAGGUGACUAUGGUGACAGUGUGUCUAGAGAGUAGGAGCAUGGGGCGGUGAGGUGACUAUGGUGACAGUGUGUCUAGAGAGUAGGAGCAUGGGGCGGUGAGGUGACUAUGGUGACAGUGUGUCUAGAGAGUAGGAGCAUGGGGCGGUGAGGUGACUAUGGUGACAGUGUGUCUAGAGAGUAGGAGCAUGGGGCGGUGAGGUGACUAUGGUGACAGUGUGUCUAGAGAGUAGGAGCAUGGGGCGGUGAGGUGACUAUGGUGACAGUGUGUCUAGAGAGUAGGAGCAUGGGGCGGUGAGGUGACUAUGGUGACAGUGUGUCUAGAGAGUAGGAGCAUGGGGCGGUGAGGUGACUAUGGUGACAGUGUGUCUAGAGAGUAGGAGCAUGGGGCGGUGAGGUGACUAUGGUGACAGUGUGUCUAGAGAGUAGGAGCAUGGGGCGGUGAGGUGACUAUGGUGACAGUGUGUCUAGAGAGUAGGAGCAUGGGGCGGUGAGGUGACUAUGGUGACAGUGUGUCUAGAGAGUAGGAGCAUGGGGCGGUGAGGUGACUAUGGUGACAGUGUGUCUAGAGAGUAGGAGCAUGGGGCGGUGAGGUGACUAUGGUGACAGUGUGUCUAGAGAGUAGGAGCAUGGGGCGGUGAGGUGACUAUGGUGACAGUGUGUCUAGAGAGUAGGAGCAUGGGGCGGUGAGGUGACUAUGGUGACAGUGUGUCUAGAGAGUAGGAGCAUGGGGCGGUGAGGUGACUAUGGUGACAGUGUGUCUAGAGAGUAGGAGCAUGGGGCGGUGAGGUGACUAUGGUGACAGUGUGUCUAGAGAGUAGGAGCAUGGGGCGGUGAGGUGACUAUGGUGACAGUGUGUCUAGAGAGUAGGAGCAUGGGGCGGUGAGGUGACUAUGGUGACAGUGUGUCUAGAGAGUAGGAGCAUGGGGCGGUGAGGUGACUAUGGUGACAGUGUGUCUAGAGAGUAGGAGCAUGGGGCGGUGAGGUGACUAUGGUGACAGUGUGUCUAGAGAGUAGGAGCAUGGGGCGGUGAGGUGACUAUGGUGACAGUGUGUCUAGAGAGUAGGAGCAUGGGGCGGUGAGGUGACUAUGGUGACAGUGUGUCUAGAGAGUAGGAGCAUGGGGCGGUGAGGUGACUAUGGUGACAGUGUGUCUAGAGAGUAGGAGCAUGGGGCGGUGAGGUGACUAUGGUGACAGUGUGUCUAGAGAGUAGGAGCAUGGGGCGGUGAGGUGACUAUGGUGACAGUGUGUCUAGAGAGUAGGAGCAUGGGGCGGUGAGGUGACUAUGGUGACAGUGUGUCUAGAGAGUAGGAGCAUGGGGCGGUGAGGUGACUAUGGUGACAGUGUGUCUAGAGAGUAGGAGCAUGGGGCGGUGAGGUGACUAUGGUGACAGUGUGUCUAGAGAGUAGGAGCAUGGGGCGGUGAGGUGACUAUGGUGACAGUGUGUCUAGAGAGUAGGAGCAUGGGGCGGUGAGGUGACUAUGGUGACAGUGUGUCUAGAGAGUAGGAGCAUGGGGCGGUGAGGUGACUAUGGUGACAGUGUGUCUAGAGAGUAGGAGCAUGGGGCGGUGAGGUGACUAUGGUGACAGUGUGUCUAGAGAGUAGGAGC
This is a long non-coding RNA of Oncorhynchus tshawytscha (Chinook salmon), 1681 nucleotides long. RefSeq lists it as uncharacterized. The transcript has 3 exons. Lineage: Eukaryota; Metazoa; Chordata; Actinopteri; Salmoniformes; Salmonidae. The record is from RefSeq and is a predicted model, not a curated record.